This 456-nucleotide unclassified non-coding RNA is filed under the name uncultured Mortierella. RNAcentral describes it as "sequence contains ITS2". The stretch from base 1 to 154 matches the Rfam family "5.8S ribosomal RNA". The record is from RNAcentral. Lineage: Eukaryota; Fungi; Mortierellomycota; Mortierellomycetes; Mortierellales; Mortierellaceae.
AACUUUUGACAACCGAUCUCUUGGCUCUCGCAUCGAUGAAGAACGCAGCGAAAUGCGAUACGUAAUGUGAAUUGCAGAAUUCAGUGAAUCAUCGAAUCUUUGAACGCAUAUUGCGCUCUUUGGUAUUCCGAAGAGCAUGCUUGUUUGAGUAUCAGUAAACACCUCAACCUCCUCUUGUUUUUUCAAAAGGAGGGUGGACUUGAGCUAUCCCAACAACCUUCACCGGUAGGCGGGCGGCUUGAAAUGCAGGUGCAGCUGGACUUUUAUCUGAGCUAAAAGCAUAUCUAUUUAGUCCUCGUCAAACAGGAUUAUUACUAUUGCUGCAGCUAACAUAAAGGAUAAUUGUCCUCAUUGCUGACUGAUGCAGGAUUUUACGACACUUUAUGUGUUGUUCAACUCGAUCUCAAAUCAAGUAAGACUACCCGCUGAACUUAAGCAUAUCAAUAAGCGGAGGCU